This 351-nucleotide long non-coding RNA is filed under the name Cyanistes caeruleus (blue tit). RNAcentral's name for it is "lncRNA (ENSCCEG00000008287.1)". The record is from RNAcentral. Lineage: Eukaryota; Metazoa; Chordata; Aves; Passeriformes; Paridae.
GUUUGCUGUCUGGGGAGAUCACUUAGAAAUCCAACUUUAACAGCUGAAUUCUUUGUGGUUAAACCAUUUUGUAAAGGUUUCUUCUCUUGCUAAGACAGAUAAACGAAAUCAGAAUGAGAAUUGCACCCACUGUUCUAGCAGUGCACUGUGAACUUGAGAUUUCUGUGUAAUGUAUGGUUUGUGGGACUCUGUGUCACCUUCUAUGGAGGUAGCGAGAGGAAUUAAGCAUCUUAAACUGUCUUUCUGUACUGUUCUGGUGUGGGAACAGGAAUGAACAUCACCCACUGCUAUUACCCUAGGUGGAAAAUAUAAUGUUUUGCAUGCAUAAAGUUAAGACUUCUUUUUGCAAGA